UUUUUCAGAGACCAAGGCCCACAGGAUGGAAAUAACAUGUCUCAAGUCACCAACUAGACGACAAGUCAGGGCUCUAAGUUCCUGCUUUGUUUUGUCAACUUACCCAUUUUUCAGAUAUUGCUUUCUGCAAAGCCUGUAAUGAGUUUUCCAGCUUGGUUUCUCCAUGUGCUGAGAACUCCUCCCUGUCCCUGAGGUGUCUGCUGCUUCUGGGCGGUGGCUUUGUUGUGCAGGUGCCCCCGCCUCUCCUGCCACCAGCCCUGUCCUGCUGCACUCGGCUCACCUCCAGUCUCAUCUCACUCCAGGCAUCCCUCGCUGCCUCCUCUUUCUUACCUGCCAUCCUUAAACUUGCUGCAAAAUGUCUUCUGACCCCAUGUGAUAAGUGGCAUUUAGAGUGUUAAUCAUAAGAGGUUAUGAAUGCUCUCAGAGAACUUCUUCAAGUGUGUGUAUUUGGAGGGGUGGGGGACCAAGGGAGGGCAUGGUGGGGGGAGGGUGAGUGAGCAGGAUCAAGGGAUAGAAGCUGGUCUUAAAGCCCCAACCCUCCCCCCUCCUGUAUGAGUCACAGGGGCAUGCAGUUCCCUCCUUUUGGUCCCCUUGACUAUCCCAGGUGCCAAAGACCUCAGCCAGGGCUGGGCUUGGCAAUAAGAGUGCAGAGGAAUUUCUUGGGUGUUUACGAAUCAUCAGACGUUACAGAGUAACACCAGGCAAGCUAUACCUCUGCUCUCAGAAGCCUUUAAUAUACCUCUGUCAAGUCCGGUUCCCCAUUUGCUCUUAAGAAGUUCCCAACUCCCAAGCAGGGCUGGAGGUGCAUUGACCAGAAGAUCUCUCCCGUCGUCCCUAGAGGGUGGGGAAAGAUUCCCCCGGCCACCAGCCCUGAGGAGGGACUACUGAGUCACAGGAGUAGAGUAGGGGGGCCUUUAAUAAUCACUGUAAUCCCUCUUAACUUAGAGCGGACUGAGAAAUUGCCCAUGGGUUCCAUUAAAAAUGUGGUCAGUGAACCUAUCGAAGGACACGAAGACUACCACAUGAUGGCGUUUCAGUUGGGCCCCACGGAAGCCUCUUACUACUGGGUGUACUGGGUUCCAACUCAAUAUGUGGAUGCAAUCAAAGACACUGUGCUGGGGAAAUGGCAGUAUUUUUGAAAGCACUUUCACCUCUGGCCCAGGAGACUGACCCAAAGUGAAGGACAUUGCUGGGAGAGGCCUGCAGCAUCCCUGGAUUUCAGAGUUCUGGAACUUUGUUCAAAAAAAAUCUAUAUCCAAUCUAAGGUGAUGUGGUGACUGAAGCCAGAGGUGAUGUACUUUCACCAUUAGCUUAAUUUUAACUUAAAAUCACCAGUUCCCUUUCUUGCAGUCAGCUUCAUACCAUUUUUAAAAGUCAAUAUGGUGGAAAUCAAUAAAUCUGAAUUCUGAA
This is a long non-coding RNA of Physeter macrocephalus (sperm whale), 1410 nucleotides long. RefSeq lists it as uncharacterized. Lineage: Eukaryota; Metazoa; Chordata; Mammalia; Artiodactyla; Physeteridae. The record is from RefSeq and is a predicted model, not a curated record. The transcript has 2 exons.